This 69-nucleotide transfer RNA is filed under the name Simulium siripoomense. RNAcentral's name for it is "tRNA-Gln". RNAcentral also lists the same sequence under 1 other name. The record is from RNAcentral. Lineage: Eukaryota; Metazoa; Arthropoda; Insecta; Diptera; Simuliidae.
UAUAUUUUAGUGUACGAAGCACAAAAGUUUUUGAUACUUUAAGGAAUAGUUUAAUUCUAUUAAAUAUAA